UGAGGAAUAUUGGUCAAUGGAGGCAACUCUGAACCAGCCAUGCCGCGUGAAGGAUGAAGGUCCUCUGGAUUGUAAACUUCUUUUAUAAAAGAAGAAACCCCAGAUUUCUAUCUGGGUUGACGGUACUUUAUGAAUAAGCACCGGCUAACUCCGUGCCAGCAGCCGCGGUAAUACGGAGGGUGCAAGCGUUAUCCGGAUUCACUGGGUUUAAAGGGAGCGUAGGUGGGCUGGUAAGUCAGUGGUGAAAUCCCCGAGCUUAACUUGGGAACUGCCAUUGAUACUAUCAGUCUUGAAUACUGUGGAGGUAAGCGGAAUAUAUCAUGUAGCGGUGAAAUGCUUAGAUAUGAUAUAGAACACCGAUAGCGAAGGCAGCUUACUACGCAGUUAUUGACACUGAGGC
This 400-nucleotide ribosomal RNA is filed under the name uncultured bacterium. Its description in RNAcentral is "bacterial SSU rRNA". It matches the Rfam family "Bacterial small subunit ribosomal RNA", at positions 355 to 752 of the family's 1533-position model. The record is from RNAcentral.